UCUAGCAUAGCUCCUUUGAACUAUCAGGAAAAUCAGAUGAUCAUAUUCAACGAGGAAGUCUUGUACAAAUGAACUAACUACUGAUCAAAUAAUUAAAUGGGUUGAGAGCCCGGUUUUGGAUCCUGGAACUGCCAGACUGCGUGUCCUCUUGCCUCAGAGCCACCUCAAAGGGCCCAAGAAUGAACCGGAUGAGUCCGUCCGGGUAAAGAAGGGAGUUCAAGAACAGCGCCUGGCCGCUUCAACUCCUACAAACCCAGGCUGGUAAGGGAGGUGACAAAACAAGGCUGUGCUCCUUCCUGGGCCACCAAGCAUUCCCAUC
Molecule: long non-coding RNA, 319 nt
Organism: Neogale vison (American mink)
Lineage: Eukaryota; Metazoa; Chordata; Mammalia; Carnivora; Mustelidae
Exons: 3
Source: RefSeq, a predicted model, not a curated record